UUACUUGUCUCGAUUUGGGUUGAUUUUUAAAUAAUUUAUAGUUAAUGUAUCAUAAUUAUUAUUAAAUUAUUUAUAGAAAUGAGAUGUUAAUCGUUUCCCAAGAUAUCUAGUUUCUUAAGAAAAAAUUUAAUUUUUUAAAGUUAUUUGUUUUUAUUUAAUUUUUUAAGUAAAAAUAUUAACUUAUUUAUUCUUUAAGGGAUAAGCUUUGAAGUUAAUAACCUAUAAUUUAUUUUAUAGAAAUAUAAUAGUAAGCUUUAAACCAGCUAUCUUUAAGAUUACGUUUUAGUUCAUUAUUUUUUAUUUUGAUUUUAUAAAUAUUUUAGGUUUUUUAUUAAGAUUAUUAAUUUAAUUUUAAAAUUUUUGUAAUAAUGAUAGAAUUAGUAUAUUUAUUUGUAUGAAAUUUUUACCUUGUGAACUUAUUAUAAGGAACUAGGCAAAAUUGAUUUCCGCCUGUUUAUCAAAAACAUGUCCUCUUGUUUAUAUUUUGAGGUCUGGCGUGCUCACUGAGCGUAUUUUUAAAGAGCCGCGGUAUUUUGACCGUGCAAAGGUAGCAUAAUCAUUAGUCUCUUAAUUAGUGGCUGGAAUGAAUGGCUUGACGAGAAAUCAACUGUCUCUUAAUAAAUUUUUGAAUUUAACUUUUGAGUCAAAAGGCUUAAAUUCUUCUUUAGGACGAGAAGACAUUAUAGAGCUUGACAUUUUACUUUUAUAUAGAUUUUUGUUUGUCUUUCUAUAUUUAAUGAUGAUGUUUUGUUGGGGUGACAUGAAGAAUAGAUAAACUCUUCAUUAUUAUAUCAAUUUAUGAUCAUAAGAUUAAGUUACCUUAGGGAUAACAGCGUAAUUGUUUUUGAGAGCUCAUAUCGACAAAGCAGAUUGCGACCUCGAUGUUGGAUUAAGAAAAAUUUUGGGUGCAGGAGCCCAAUGAUUAGGUCUGUUCAACCUUUAAAUUCUUACAUGAUCUGAGUUCAGACCGGCGUGAGCCAGGUCGGUUUCUAUCCUAAGAUUGUUAAUCCAUAUUAGUACGAAAGGACCAUAUGGUUAAAAUAUUUUUUGUUAUAUUGAUUAAUAUUAAUUUAUUUA
Schistocerca gregaria is the source of this 1077-nucleotide long non-coding RNA. RefSeq lists it as uncharacterized. The record is from RefSeq and is a predicted model, not a curated record. The transcript has 2 exons. Lineage: Eukaryota; Metazoa; Arthropoda; Insecta; Orthoptera; Acrididae.